AGCGAACGCUGGCGGCAUGCUUAACACAUGCAAGUCGCACGGGCAGAUUUCGGUCUGUCAGUGGCGGACGGGUGAGUAACGCGUAGGUAUCUGUCCUUGGGUGGGGGAUAACGCUGGGAAACUGGUGCUAAUACCGCAUGAUGACUGAGGUCCAAAGGCGCAAGUCGCCUGGGGAGGAGCCUGCGUCCGAUUAGCUUGUUGGUGGGGUAAUGGCCUACCAAGGCUGCGAUCGGUAGCUGGUCUGAGAGGAUGAUCAGCCACAUUGGGACU
This 270-nucleotide ribosomal RNA is filed under the name uncultured bacterium. RNAcentral describes it as "partial 16S ribosomal RNA". It matches the Rfam family "Bacterial small subunit ribosomal RNA", at positions 29 to 320 of the family's 1533-position model. The record is from RNAcentral.